AUUGAACGCUGGCGGAAUGCUUUACACAUGCAAGUCGAACGGCAGCACGGGGGCAGCCCUGGUGGCGAGUGGCGAACGGGUGAGUAAUACAUCGGAACGUGCCCGGUCGUGGGGGAUAACGUAGCGAAAGUUACGCUAAUACCGCAUACGAUCUGAGGAUGAAAGCGGGGGACCUUCGGGCCUCGCGCGAUCGGAGCGGCCGAUGUCAGAUUAGGUAGUUGGUGGGGUAAAGGCCUACCAAGCCGACGAUCUGUAGCUGGUCUGAGAGGACGACCAGCCACACUGGGACUGAGACACGGCCCAGACUCCUACGGGAGGCAGCAGUGGGAAUUUUGGACAAUGGGCGCAAGCCUGAUCCAGCCAUUCCGCGUGCAGGACGAAGGCCUUCGGGUUGUAAACUGCUUUUGUACGGAACGAAAAGGCUCUGGCUAAUACCUGGGGCUCAUGACGGUACCGUAAGAAUAAGCACCGGCUAACUACGUG
RNAcentral lists this ribosomal RNA (483 nucleotides) under uncultured bacterium. RNAcentral's name for it is "partial 16S ribosomal RNA". It matches the Rfam family "Bacterial small subunit ribosomal RNA", at positions 30 to 507 of the family's 1533-position model. The record is from RNAcentral.